GUCGAGCGAGCUUGCCUAGAUGAAUUUGGUGCUUGCACCAAAUGAAACUAGAUACAAGCGAGCGGCGGACGGGUGAGUAACACGUGGGUAACCUGCCCAAGAGACUGGGAUAACACCUCGAAACAGAUGCUAAUACCGGAUAACAACACUAGACGCAUGUCUAGAGUUUAAAAGAUGGUUCUGCUAUCACUCUUGGAUGGACCUGCGGUGCAUUAGCUAGUUGGUAAGGUAACGGCUUACCAAGGCAAUGAUGCAUAGCCGAGUUGAGAGACUGAUCGGCCACAUUGGGACUGAGACACGGCCCAAACUCCUACGGGAGGCAGCAGUAGGGAAUCUUCCACAAUGGACGCAAGUCUGAUGGAGCAACGCCGCGUGAGUGAAGAAGGGUUUCGGCUCGUAAAGCUCU
This 406-nucleotide ribosomal RNA is filed under the name Lactobacillus gasseri. RNAcentral describes it as "bacterial SSU rRNA". It matches the Rfam family "Bacterial small subunit ribosomal RNA", at positions 61 to 434 of the family's 1533-position model. The record is from RNAcentral. Lineage: Bacteria; Bacillati; Bacillota; Bacilli; Lactobacillales; Lactobacillaceae.